RNAcentral lists this ribosomal RNA (253 nucleotides) under uncultured bacterium. RNAcentral describes it as "partial 16S ribosomal RNA". It matches the Rfam family "Bacterial small subunit ribosomal RNA", at positions 524 to 776 of the family's 1533-position model. The record is from RNAcentral.
GACAGAGGAUGCAAGCGUUAUCCGGAUUCACUGGGUUUAAAGGGUGCGUAGGUGGAAUGGUAAGUCAGUGGUGAAAUCUCCAAGCUUAACUUGGAAACUGCCGUUGAUACUAUCAUUCUUGAAUAUCGUGGAGGUAAGCGGAAUAUGUCAUGUAGCGGUGAAAUGCUUAGAUAUGACAUAGAACACCAAUUGCGAAGGCAGCUCACUACACAAUCAUUGACGCUGAGGCACGAAAGCGUGGGGAUCAAACAGG